UAGUCGAGCGGACCGACGGGAGCUUGCUCCCUUAGGUCAGCGGCGGACGGGUGAGUAACACGUGGGUAACCUGCCUGUAAGACUGGGAUAACUCCGGGAAACCGGGGCUAAUACCGGAUGCUUGAUUGAACCGCAUGGUUCAAUCAUAAAAGGUGGCUUUUAGCUACCACUURCAGAUGGACCCGCGGCGCAUUAGCUAGUUGGUGAGGUAACGGCUCACCAAGGCGACGAUGCGUAGCCGACCUGAGAGGGUGAUCGGCCACACUGGGACUGAGACACGGCCCAGACUCCUACGGGAGGCAGCAGUAGGGAAUCUUCCGCAAUGGACGAAAGUCUGACGGAGCAACGCCGCGUGAGUGAUGAAGGUUUUCGGAUCGUAAAACUCUGUUGUUAGGGAAGAACAAGUACCGUUCGAAUAGGGCGGYACCUUGACGGUACCUAACCAGAAAGCCACGGCUAACUACGUGCCAGCAGCCGCGGUAAUACGUAGGUGGCAAGCGUUGUCCGGAAUUAUUGGGCGUAAAGCGCGCGCAGGCGGUUUCUUAAGUCUGAUGUGAAAGCCCCCGGCUCAACCGGGGAGGGUCAUUGGAAACUGGGGAACUUGAGUGCAGAAGAGGAGAGUGGAAUUCCACGUGUAGCGGUGAAAUGCGUAGAGAUGUGGAGGAACACCAGUGGCGAAGGCGACUCUCUGGUCUGUAACUGACGCUGAGCGCGAAGCGUGGGGAGCGAACAGGAUUAGAUACCCUGGUAGUCCACGCCGUAAACGAUGAGUGCUAAGUGUUAGAGGGUUUCCGCCCUUUAGUGCUGCAGCAAACGCAUUAAGCACUCCGCCUGGGGAGUACGGUCGCAAGACUGAAACUCAAAGGAAUUGACGGGGGCCCGCACAAGCGGUGGAGCAUGUGGUUUAAUUCGAAGCAACGCGAAGAACCUUACCAGGUCUUGACAUCCUCUGACAACCCUAGAGAUAGGGCUUCCCCUUCGGGGGCAGAGUGACAGGUGGUGCAUGGUUGUCGUCAGCUCGUGUCGUGAGAUGUUGGGUUAAGUCCCGCAACGAGCGCAACCCUUGAUCUUAGUUGCCAGCAUUCAGUUGGGCACUCUAAGGUGACUGCCGGUGACAAACCGGAGGAAGGUGGGGAUGACGUCAAAUCAUCAUGCCCCUUAUGACCUGGGCUACACACGUGCUACAAUGGGCAGAACAAAGGGCAGCGAAGCCGCGAGGCUAAGCCAAUCCCACAAAUCUGUUCUCAGUUCGGAUCGCAGUCUGCAACUCGACUGCGUGAAGCUGGAAUCGCUAGUAAUCGCGAUCAGC
Molecule: ribosomal RNA, 1309 nt
Filed under: Bacillus sp. SRS7
Lineage: Bacteria; Bacillati; Bacillota; Bacilli; Caryophanales; Bacillaceae
Description: bacterial SSU rRNA
Rfam family: Bacterial small subunit ribosomal RNA
Source: RNAcentral